UCACUCUCUACUGUUUCAAGUUGAUGAAACCACAUAGGUAAGACGAAUCUGAUAGUGGGAGAGUCAUAAGAUAAGACUACUCUCUAUCUCCAUUCAAUGCAUAUUUAUUCUCAAUUAAGUUUCACACUCUAUUUGCAACAGGCUAGACCAGUUCAUGAUCGUUAUAUUUAUUUUUGGUAUAAAUUUCAUUGUUUACAUAAAGGAAAAAAUAUCUCGAAAUUCCAAUACAUAGUAAAAUACAAUGGAUUUCGUUUCUUAAUCAUAUAUAUAAUGGGACUUUUUUUUUCUCUUCUAAGAGCAUACACGUAUGCGUUUUAAUGAUUGUGGGGUCCACUUACUGUCCGGGUUAGUUUGUUUGAAUAAGUUUGGGGUUUGGUCUGAUUUGGGUUCUCAGCGUUUUGUUUGAUAAUUAAAUGAAAUUAUGUGUUUUUUUCUUCAGAAAAUUAGGCUUCAUGUUAUCGUUUUUUUCACAUUCAACGUUGCCGUCUCCGCUUAUCUUCAUCUGCAAACCUAAUGAUUUCUCAUCUCAUCUCUUUGCCUCCCUUUUCGUUUAGUGUAUUUCUUUUAAUUCAGCAAUAAUUGUUAUUCACAUUAAAUCAAGUAAGGAUGUCGACCUCUCUAUUUCCUUUUUGUCAAAUCUAUAAAUAGGAGAGGGAUGAGAGUAGGAUCGAUGUUCCGUCAUGAUUUGUGUAGGCGAAGAUUGGUGUUAAUGGACGCCCUUCGAACGCACCGUCGGUGAUACGAUUGUGUUAUUUUCAGCUCUGUUUCCGCAUUUUGAUCGGUUGUGUAGUGAUUUUUUUUUGGGAGUGGUGUGUUGUUUGGUGUAGGGGAUUUGAAGAGAACAGUGAUGGGAUUCAAAUCAACACCGAUCUUUCAUAGUCGUAAGAUUCAAGAUCUUAAGAAGUGUCCAUUCUCCUAGAUGUGAUGGUAUUUCUCAGAUACUCGGGAGCAGUUUCGGAUCAAUGGUCAUUGAUGCCUCAAAUUCUGACCAGACCAAGCUUCAGGUCGGAGAUAAAUAACUUAGUUUAACAACUCAGAGAAGAAAGAAAGACUUUUAUUUUUUCCCUCACUGUGGAGAUUUUGGUUUCUUGAUGUACCUAAGAGAGAAAACUUGGUUUGCUAAUCCUCUAAACUCAAGGCUGAUGUACAUCUGUCAUGCGCCUAGUACUCCUUACAACAGUAAGCAACCAAAUCAAGAAGUUAAGUUAGAUCCCUCAAGUGGUCCAUGUGCUGAUUACUCUCUGCUGCUUUAGAGGCAGAAAAAGUUUUUUUUUUUUUUAAUUCUUUCAUCUGUAUGCAAAAACUAGCAGAUUGUUUCAUUAGUGGUCUCUUUUGAUGACAUGUUGAACUUCUUUUUUUGAAUUAUACAGGGGUAUCCUGACCUCACAAAAGUGAUCCAGACUAGUCACAUGUUAUCACGUGUCGGUCCACUAUCUCUGGCGAUGCUAAAAUGUUUAUUCCCCAGUGGCCGAGACUCAAACCCUGGUGACUUCACCGUAUUGGGCUUUUGCCCUCAAAUUAAUCACCAUGAGGCCACAAGUCAUGGUUAUUUGAAUCUGAAAAGUAAUCAGAGGCUUUUGUUUUCAUCCAUGAUUAGUGGAACAGAGAGAAGUGCUGGACUUCUGAAAGGUUAAACCAUGAUUAUGUUUUAAAAUGCUUGAGAUGAUAACUAAAGUAUUUCUUAUUUGUGUGGUAGAUUACAUAGACAAUAAAUAUUUCUGCUUUUAACGUUGCUUUUGGCCAUAUUCUUUUUCAUUCUGAUGAUCUUCAUACCUACAUGUCCAACUCCAACGACCAGGUCUCAUACCCGUUGGGCAAUGUCGCAGGUGGGUUGUCUGAACCGAGAAGCAGCAAAUUCAAGGCCUUGACUUUAGUUAUGGAUUGCCUCCGGUUCAGAUGGAGACGCAGGAUGAUAAUGAGUUCUUCGAUCUGAGUUUCUUGGAUCUGCAAAACUGAGACAAUGGGAUGCAGUUGGAUGCAUGUGGAUUUUUUUAUUUGCCUUAAUCCCAUUGUGACUCUUUAUACUUUUUAAUGAUGUAGAGAAUCUCACAAGACUGUCAAAAGGGAACUGUAUAUAGAGAGAUGAUGUUAUAUAUAACAAUUUAACAGAUCCAUAAAACUUAGUACACUGUUUGUCUUUCGUUC
Molecule: RNA transcript, 2145 nt
Organism: Brassica napus (rape)
Lineage: Eukaryota; Viridiplantae; Streptophyta; Magnoliopsida; Brassicales; Brassicaceae
Exons: 4
Source: RefSeq, a predicted model, not a curated record